RNAcentral lists this long non-coding RNA (736 nucleotides) under Salmo salar (Atlantic salmon). RNAcentral's name for it is "lncRNA (ENSSSAG00000089200.1)". Lineage: Eukaryota; Metazoa; Chordata; Actinopteri; Salmoniformes; Salmonidae. The record is from RNAcentral.
GUAGUAAUCAAGCUCUCAGUCAAUGUCAGUGGAGCGUUGGUGACACUGGGACCACUCAGGGAAACCUGUGGAUGGAAGAGAUGUGACAUCACUUGAGGUUUUGUUGCGGCUGUUAUAAAGCAAGUCACUGAAGUCCAUCACUCACUAUGGUCCUGUUUCAAACUCAGAUCCUAUUAAGAAAAGUCAAGUAAUUCAGCAAAUGACUCAGAGCUUGAGAUAUCUGACAGGCGUAGAGCAUGCCCUGGGAGAAAUAGUUGCUACAGUAAAGGCCUGAUUGGUGGAGUGCUGCAGAGAUGGUUGUCCUUCUGGAAGGUUUUCCCAUCUCCACAGAGGAACUCGGGUUCUUGGUCACCUCCCCGACCCUUCUCCCCUGAUUGCUCAGUUUGGCCAGGCGGCCAGCUCUAGAUCACACAAUCCUGUCUCUGAGUUCUACGGACAAUUCCUUCGACCUCAUGGCUUGGUUUUUGAUCUGACGUGCAAUGUCAACUGUGGGACCUUAUAUAGACAGGUGUGUACCUUUCCAAAUCAUGUCCAAUCAAUUGAAUUUACCACAGGUGGACUCCAAUCAAGAUGUAGAAACAAUUCAAGGAUGAUCAAUGGAAACAGGAUGCACCUGAGCUCAAUUUAGUCUCAUAGCAAAGGGUCUGAAUACUUAUGAAAAGAAGGUAUUUCUGUUUUCUUUUUUUUAAUACACUGCAAAAACUUCUAAAAACCUGUUUUCGCAUUGUCAUUAUGG